Non-coding RNA from Rattus norvegicus (Norway rat), 21184 nucleotides. Lineage: Eukaryota; Metazoa; Chordata; Mammalia; Rodentia; Muridae. The record is from RefSeq and is a predicted model, not a curated record.
UGUUAAUUGAGAGUUUUGCAGGAUACAGUAACCUGGGCUGGCACUUGUGUUCUCUUAGGGUCUGUAUGACAUCAGUCCAGGAUCUUCUGGCCUUCAUAGUUUCUGGCGAAAAGUCUGGUGUGAUUCUGAUAGGUCUGCCGUUAUAUGUUACUUGACCUUUAUCCCUUACUGCUUUUAAUAUUCUUUCUUUAUUUUGUGCAUUUGGUGUUUUGACUAUUAUGUGACGGGAGGUGUUUCUUUUCUGGUCCAAUCUAUUUGGAGUUCUGUAGGCUUCUUGUAUGCCUAUGGGUAUGUCUUUUUUUAGGUUAGGGAAGUUUUCUUCUAUGAUUUUGUUGAAGAUAUUUACUGGUCCUUCGAGCAGGGAGUCUUCACUCUCUUCUAUACCUAUUAUCCUUAGGUUUGAUUUUCUUAUUGAGUCCUGGAUUUCCUGUAUGUUUUGGACCAGUAGCUUUUUCCGCUUUACAUUAUCUUUGACAGUUGAGUCAAUGAUUUCUAUGGAAUCUGCUGCUCCUGAGAUUCUCUCUUCCAUCUCUUGUAUUCUGUUGGUGAAGCUCGUAUCUACAGCUCCUUGUCUCUUCUUUUGGUUUUCUAUAUCCAGGGUUGUUUCCAUGUGUUCUUUCUUGAUUGCUUCUAUUUCCAUUUUUAAUUCCUUCAACUCUUUGAUUGUGUUUUCCUGGAAUUCUUUCAGGGAUUUUUGUGAUUCCUCUCUGUAGGCUUCUACUUUUUAUUAAUGUUUUCCUGUGUUUCUCUAAGGGAGUUCUUCACGUCUUUCUUGAAGUCCUCCAGCAUCAUGAUGAAAUAUGAUUUUGAAACUAGAUCUUGCUUUUCUGGUGUGUUUGGAUAUUCCAUGUUUGUUUUGAUGGGAGAAUUGGGCUCUGAUGGUGCCAUGUAGUCUUGGUUUCUGUUGCUUGGGUUCCUGUGCUUUCCUCUCGCCAUCAGAUUAUCUCUAGUGUUACUUUGUUCUGCUAUUUCUGACAGUGGCUAGACUGUCCUAUAAGCCUGUGUGUCAGGAGUGCUGUAGACCUAUUUUCCUGUUUUCUUUCAGCCUGUUAUGGGGACAGAGUGUUCUGCUUUAUCGUGUAGUUUAUCCUUUCUACAGGUCUUCAGCUGUUCCUGUGGGCCUGUUUCUUGAGUUCACCAGGCAGGUCACUUGCAGCAGAAAAGUUGGUCUUACCUGUGGUCCUGAGGCUCAAGUUUGCUUGUGGGGUGCUGCCUACGAAUUCUCCGCAGCGGCAGCAACCGGGAAGGUCUGUGCCUCCGUUUCCGGGAGCCUCAGUGCACCAGGGUUCCAGAUGGUGUUUGGUGUUUUCCUUUGGAAUCAGUAAUGUGUGCAGAGUGCAGUCUCUUCUGGUUUCCUAGGCGUGUCUGCCUCUCUGAAGGUUUAGCUCUCCCUCCCACGGGAUUUGGGUGCAGAGAACUGUUUAUCAGGUCUGUUUCCUUCAGGUUCCGGCGGUGUCUUAGGCACAGGGGUCCUGCUGCUCCUGGGCCCUCCCCCACAGGAACCCAGAGGCCUUAUACACUUUCCUCUUGGGCCAGGGAUGUGGGCAGGGGUGGGCAGUGUUGGUGGUCUCUUCUGUCUGCAGCCUUAGGAGUGCCCACCUGACCAGGCGGUGAGGUCUCUCUCCCAUGGGGUCUGGGAGCAGAGAGCUGCUGCGGGCCGGGAUCCAAGGGUGUGGAACUCCUGGUAAACACAGGGAGUGCCCUGUCCUAGAGGAAUUCUGCCUCUGUGUGUCCUGAGUUCACCACGCAGGUCACUUGCACCAGAAAAGUUGGUCUUACCUGUGGUCCCGAGGCUCAAGUUUGCUCGAGGGGUGCUGCCCACGAGCUCUCUGCGGCGGCAGCAACCAGGAAGAUCUGCACCGCCGUUUCCCUAUCAUUAAAUUUAUGUAUUGAUUUUUCUAAAGAUUUAUUUAUUUUAUUCCAGUACAAUGUUGCUAUCUUCAGACACACCAGAAGGGGGCAUCGGAUCCCAUUACAGAUGGUUGUGAGCCACCAUGUGGGUGCUGGGAAUUGAACUCAGGACCUCUGGAAGAGCAGUCAGUGCUCUUAACCGCUGAGCCAUCUCUCCAGCUCUCUACUGAUUUCUUAAAUUCAGUUAUUUGUCAAUUCUAGAAUUUUCUUUUGAUGUUUGAAAAUAUAGAUGCUAGAGUAGAUGAAAUUCUUCCUCUUGCCAUCUUGAAUAUAUAAUUAUAGAUAUUUAAAAACUUUUGACAACUCCAAAGAAUGCAUUUCUAAUUUAUUCACAUUUCUGUUCAGGUCAGUUCAUUUUAUGGCUUCUCUGACAAUUUUUCACUGAAUGCUGGACAUUGUAAGUUAAAAAUAAUUGAGGUUCUUGGGAUUUUAUAUGUUCCCAGAGAGAUUAUCCUGUUCCCUUGAAGAAGGCAUUUAGGAAGAGAUUUCUUGUCUUGGUCCAUUUGCUAAUGGUUUAAUUCCAUGUUCUUCUUCCUCUUAUGUGGUUCUCAGCUAAAAAUACUGAGGUGUCUCUGACCCAAUUUUGGCCUUCCCAAACCACAAGGUUCGGCAGAAUCUCACUCCUUUCAGAGUGCUUCAGUGCACCACAGUGCAAAUUUGCAAAUGUUCUGAGCAUACAAAAUUUGGUGAAGAUAUAGCUUGCCUUCGAGCAUUUCCCCUUCUGCUUCCCAGCAGACUGCGGCAGUGAUGUGGACUGGUUGCUGUGUGCCAGCUUCCAGCGGUUUCCAGUGGAAGGCUUCUGAAGAAAGGUAUGCUCACAGCGGUGGACACUACCAGUUACCUUCUCUGUGACUUCCUCCUCUCCUUGCCUUGAUGGUCAGUAUGCUCUUUUCAAAGCAGCAAACUUUGGCCUGAUUUCUUAUUCAUGACAUAGUUUAGAAACUUUUCUUCCCUUUCCUCUCACCUUUCCAGAAUUCUUGAUAUUUUGAUAUUUGAUCUCCUGCAUGGAUCAAUAUUUUUAACAUUGUCUCCCCUCCCCCAACCCCCGUCCAGCUGGUUCAUUUUAUUCAGAGAACAGUCUUGCAAUCUUUUGUCCUGGUGCCACACUAUGACUGCUGAUUUUUUGACAGCCAAGUGAGGAGAGGGUUUGGGGAAAGGCUGCUCAGACAGAAGCUCAACCAGAGUCUUCCGGUCUUCACCUGGUUGUGUGCUGUUCCUUCUGCUCUCACUGCAGAACCUCAUGAGUUCAUGGUCUCCAGCCAGUACCGUGACUGAUGGAGGAAUCUGUCUCAGUCCACAUCAUCAUUCGGCAGGGCCUGGCACCGGCUGUUUGUGGAGUAUCCAAGUCUAUGGCAUGAUUGGCUGUAGAUGUAAGUUUUAUAUUUCUCGGAGAUUUCAAGGCAGCCAUACACUUGCUUUUUGUGCUACGACGUCAUGUCUUCUGCUCAUGUCUUUAAGCAUUUCUCCUUCCCAGUGCUGAUGCCCUUGUGGAUUUGUUAUUUUUUUCUUUUGUUCUUUCUAUUAAAAAAAGUCUAGAAUUUUCAGGGAGGAAACAUAAAGCAGGUGUGUUCAGUUUACCAUUUCUCACUGGAAUUUUCAGGUGCAUUAUGUACAUCAAGAGAAACGUCCACAGCAGGUAUUAAUAUAGAUGAGGAAAAUGUGGAAGUAACAAGAAAUGACAGAGUUAGAAUUAAAAGUCACUCUACCUGGCACAAAGGCCCACAUUUUGGAAAACACUUCCCCAACCCCUUUAACUUUAAAUAUCAAGGUUUUGUCCCCAGGUAUGAGCAACCCACUGUUUUCCAAAGCCAAGUAAUUCAUGAAAUUAAAAACAAAAAUGCAAUAUACAUCCACUCAUUCUCUGUUUAGCAGUCAAUUCUUAGGUGCUUUUCCUACAAAAGUAAAUUUUAAUUUUCCUACUUUGUCAUUGAAGUUUUUUGGUUUGUAUUUGAAAUUAUUAAGCUUGCCCUGGGGAAGUUUUGUUCUAAUUGAAACUUUUCUCUAGGUCAGGAUCAUAUUCCCUAAAAUAUUGCAGCUCUUCUGUUUUAUAGAAAAUGAAGUUUCUGGUCCUUAAUAGAGAUUGAAGAUGUACAGAGGUUUCUUACUGUGUUUCUCUUUGGGCUCUCUCAGAAUGACUCGCUGCUUCCAGUUGGCCCUGUAUCUGAACACCCUUGUUAAAACCUCUCCAUACACAAUGAUUUAGUCUUUAUUAUGGGAAAUAAGUAAGAUCCUGGAAAGCAAGAAAGAGUUAUUGCAAAAGACAACUUAGACAGUUUGCCACAAGUGGGAUAUUUAAUGACUGGGGAGUCUCUGUAAAACAUUUGUGUAUCAAAACUACAGCAUCUUGUCCUUAAAGAAAGGGGAAAGGCCCUUGCCUAGAGGAUAGUCCACACAGGAAGGGGAGUCACAAGCAUUCCCAGUCAUUUCAAACAUUGCUUUUUAAAAGGAACAUGUUGAUCUUUUGAGUGGUCAUCUUUUUUUUUUUCUGGUAAGAGCAUCUCUGGACCUUAUUCCUACUUUCAAGUGGUAGGAGAGUUGAUAUUUGUUAAUGGUUUCUGAUGAGCCAGCCUGACUCCAUUUUAGGCUUCAAAGUCAUAUUCUAGCAAAGACAAACUAGGUUUAUUGCUGCUUAUGAUUAAACUUCUGUUUCUCAAGGAUUGACCUGUUUCCCCACCCCUGUAACCUUAAAGGCAAUGGCUCUGUAUGGCCUGUUCCAGGAAACAGCAACUGUGCUUGCAACCCUACCUUUGUUUCAAAGGUUGUUAGGUCUACUGUGUUAUGAGUACCUGUUAGGACUUAGUUAUGAACACCUCACAAUCACGUCUUUGUUUCGGGUCAUUAUGGCUAACCUGUUGUGCUUACAUUCUGCUUUUGUAACUCCGUCUAUUUUCCUGCCAAGUUCCCUAUUUGGAAACACCUCCUCCCCACCCCACACCCCCCCGCCCCGCCAACUACAAAAUCCUUGUCUUCUUCACAUUUAAUGCUGAUCUCUUGAACCCAGCUUUUAGGGAGAGACAACGCAUUUACACGGAUAGAAAGCUUGCUUUGGUUAAUUUGGCUAUGAUGAUUUGUGUCAAUGGUCUUUCUCCUCAGAUCUUUAGGAUUAGCAUUACAAGUAAAGUACCUAGAUAAUCAGAGACCAAUGUGGAAACAUCCCAUACGGUAUAAUGUUCAAAUUGAGAAUGAAUUAUACCCUAGCCAAAUUGUUUAAUUUGUCCUUAGUAGCUCAUUUCUCUUAAACUUCUACAUUAUUGUUUACUUAAAAAGUAAAAUUAAUUUUACCUUGCUAGCACUGUACAAGAGUUUUGACUUACUUUCCAAAGCUCCAUCCCCAGGAAUUUUCUUUCACCCGUCAAAUCAGAAGCAUUCGUUUACUCUGUUAGCUUCUGAAUAGCUUGUAUAUUCAUUUUGCUUGAUCUUUUUUACACACUUGCAUGGCAUUCUUUCUCUCUUCCCCUCUCUCCCCCUCUGUUUCUCUGUCUCUGUUUCUCUGUCUGUUUCUGUCUCUCUGGUGUGUGUGUGUGUGUGUGUGUGUGUGUGUGUGUGUAUGUGUGUGUAUACAGUGCGUAUAGUUAGGGAGGGACUGCAAUGCUGACAUUGUGUAAAAGUACACCAAAUAAAUUUUUUUUCUUUCUGAAAAAAGAAAAUACAUGUUAAUAUUCUAAUUUUACAGUGUGUGGUCUUUAGGGGAAGAAUUGUUGAAAAAGCCCAGAUGAGACCCUGGCGAUUAGUCCAGAGCCUGACACAGCACGCUGUUUUGCUGUGGGUGUCUUAAUGCAGGAUGUGACACUUGAGAGAGGCUCUGGGAGAUUCUAUUGGCUAUAAACACCAAAAGACAAAAGUUCUUAAAAAGGCAACCAAUUCAAAGGAAGACAGUGAAAUGCCAUCUGAGUACGCAAUUAGCAGAUAGCAGCAGACUGGGGAGCUUUCUAAAAACAAGGAAGCAAGGAGAAUCUUUAAACCACCAAAGAGUUCACAUGAAGAUCUCAUGGAAACCACACUGACCUCUUCUCUAGCAAGGGGAAUUUCCAACAGCCAGCUCUGGCUAAGAAUUCAGACACGGCUGUUAAAAACAAAAGGAGGAAAUAAAAGCUCAGGGAAGAACAGCUUCAAAAUGACUUCGUUUUCAAGCUUUUUAAUGACAAGAAGUAGUGAUAAAGAAGACUGAAGUCUGCCUGCAUCCAAAGAUGGGUCCAGCAAGGAUUAAAACUACAAAUGUUAAAGAGAACCAAAGCUACUGACAUGAUUUCCCCAGACCUACAGUGGACAAGGAGACCCAGUCUGCUUGAAGGACUAAGACCCUGAUGUGGAUGUUACAUUUCCCCUUUUAAACGCAUAAUUUAGUUGAAACUUAUGUUCAAACUUGGGUCGGCUCUUCUUUACCUCCGGGUGUCUUUUAAUGAUUUUCUUGUAGCUGAGAUCCUACUGGAGAGAGAGCCGUCAAACACUAUAGGAACCAGAAACAUGGAGGAAUACAGCCGGCACCUUGUAGCUCAGAAGCUUAAAUAAGACAAGGAAAGAUACAGUAUAAACAGGUGGCUGUGAGUACCUCCCACAUAGCAGGGUCCAAUAAAUACUCAUGAAAGAAAGGGGAAACAUACAGUUAUGAUCUCUGGAAGAAAUUGUUCCUGAGCUGAUGGGAACACCCAGACAAGUCGAAAGAAGAGUGAGCCCCUAUCCAACCCUUGUCACUGUUCCAAUUCAUAAAAUACCUUUAGAAACCAGACAUUUCCUCCAAUUGAUCCAUUAGGCUCAGAGAUAUUAAGUGUCUUGUCCAAGACCUUUGAAAAUACCUUAAUAUUUAUUGCCUGUCAAACAAUUAUAUUUUAUAUACUGGUAUUAGUUUGUCCAAGUCAAAUAAUUAAGUCAAUGGCCAGUAAGGAAAAGCCGAAUUCAGAUCCGUCCACAGAUCUCGUUUGUCUGGUAGCUGCUGCUGCCUCUUUUCCUUGAACAAAGUGAAUGAGGCUAGGGUGUCCCUCCACAGAGUUCUGUAUAGGAGAUGGUAAGUUCCUGCAGAGCUUAGAGUAACACUGCUGUUUUGUCUGCCUAGUGACAAGUUUAUUUGCACAUUCCACAGCCAGUGGUCCAUGAGGAACGACCUGGACCUGGGCUCCUCUUCGUCUGUGUCCAUCAGUUCUUUCUGCGGUUGCUCUGUCCUCCAUUGUAACUUACAGCGCCAAGGGCUUCUCCAGAACUUCUCAUUGUGUCUCGGUUUCCGUUGGUAGCUGAGUCACCAAGUUCUGGGUUUGCAGAUUUACUCUGUCUGAACUUUCUCUCUGUUCCUGCGGAAAGAUGCCCAUGUCAGACCCUCAUUUUCCCUUCUGGUACUUUCGCUUGUCUCUGUCUCCCAUCACCGCCAUUUCUGCAGCUCAAACUCGGCGGUGCCGCUGGAGUCAUUACUGUUGACUGAAAAACUGCUGCCCUAGGGGAAAAGGAAUCUCUUCGCCUCCUACAAACUCAUUCACCACCUGAAUGCUGAUAAAUUGCAAAUUUCCGUCUGCAGCCGGAUUCAGAGUUUCCACACUGUUUCUGGCUCAGUAAACUCCAGUAGCUUUGCAAAGGAGGUCUCUGACCUCCUCACUUUUAUUGCAUUGGUACAAGCUCUCCUUCCUAGACAGCUUUCACUUCCUCCCACUGCCUUUAUUCUAAUGGACACGAAUCCGGCUGUCUCAGACUGUUGCAAUAGGCUGAAAGACGGUGGGUGCCGUGAGAGUUGCCCUCUAACAUUGCUGUGCACACUGUUUUGGCUUCUAAUAUGGUCUCUUUCUGAAUACUUUCCACUGAACUUUCACGCCCAUUUUUUAAAAAGCAGUUCAACAUCUCUGAACUCAGAAUAUAUUUUUACAGUUAAUUUCCUAUAUUUUUCUCUUAAACGACCACUGGGGAUUGUAUUGAAGGACUCAAUGUGCUGGGCUAGACAUGUUACCAUUGAGCUAUACUUUCUCUAAAAAUGAUCAAAACCACCCUCUGUCUCAGUCUCAGUCGGGCUAGCUGGCCUCAAACCCUGGGAGUCUGCUAACCUAACUUGUCUCUUUGUAGGAACAUCGGGAUUGCUCACCGUGAUACAACAGUUUACUUGGGUUUCAGAAACCCAAACUCAAAUUCGUAAGCUUGCACAAGUACUAUCCACUGAGUCAUCUCUUACAACCUUAAAAUCCAUUUUAAAACACAAUUUGAAAGACAUUUGUUUUUAAUGUUGUACUGUAAAACCCAAUCAACCUGUUUUUGAAGAAACCCCCUUUUGCGUGAGACUAGGGGCUAAACUCCAAUUCUGGGAAGGAAAUCACACCUGAGCAAUCGUCCUAUGACACCCAAGCCCCUAGCAACAGCCAGACCACAAUAGUAGGACCAAGGUACAUUGAGGUAACCCAAGACAUCCUGCAGAGAAUAGGUAGCCUGGCUAUUCUGUUUUCCAGUUGGUUCUGCCCUCAUGUUCAGUUCCUGCAGAUUCAUCAGAAAUGCAGUUUUAAAAAUAUUAGCUUGCUGACCUGUAUGGAAAAUCUCCAAGUUUGCUGUAACCAUAAUAAAAUCCCUGCACCCCUAGACUCAAGGGCUCUCAUGCUGACCUGCUGUCACAGUAAGAGUCUGAGAGACCUUGCUUGAGAGCUCUUAAUAAGGACCCUUAAUGUAUUUUACAUCGGAAAUGGCUCCUCCAUGGUCUGGUCUUUGGGUACCUGCAACUUGGGCAUAGCAGUACAUGUCAGUACAUUUUAUAGUGAGAUAUAAAAUAUGAUAACAGGAAAAAAAUUAUCGUUCUGAAUGUGUUCCUGCCAUGCAUUAAAACUUCAAAUAAUUCCCCAUUGUUCUAAGAAUAAAACAGAACCACCUUAACGUGUCCAUAGCAUCCUGCAUGUUUGUUCUAUUCCUUGCAUCCCCUGCUAUAGAAACAUUUUGUGUCACUCACCUCAUAAGCACAUUCGUCUGAUGACUAAUUUCUGGGUAUUUACUGUGUCCCCAAAUUAGUGUAGCUUUUGUGUUCAUCAUACUCCCUGCUCAGUAGAAGCCCCACCCCCAACACACACGGAAUGUAGUAUGCUGCCCCUCAGCGUUGGAAUAUGCCAGGCUUCCUCCUGGGAAGGCUCUCUGUCGGGCUGCACGUUUCUUCCUACUGCUCCUUCAGAGUCUGAUUUGCCCAGUACCCCCCUCCAUCUCUCCCGUUACAUGAACUCAUGGAUCCAGCACUCCUGCUCCUCAGGACAGCUCUUGUUUUCCCAGUGUCGGUCCUUCACACCAUUAGGAUGUGGAGCAUUGGAUUGUCUUUGCCUAACUCACUUUAGCCCUUACUCUAAUAGGGGGCCAUGCCAGCUCUUUCUAAAAUUCUUGGAAUGAAUUAUGAUAAGGAAUGGAAUUAUGCACCUGGAGUUAUUCUGAGUUGUCUUCUACCUGAGUGUAUUCUUUAGAAGAAACAUACAGAGGUGAACCCUAGGCCGACGGGAUUACAUGGAAAUCUUAGUUUGACAAGCUAAAAAGAAAUUACACAGUCAGUUUCACAUUAUGAUACUUCAUUGCUGAUAUAAAACUAUCAUAUUUUCCUCCUUAAAUAAUUGCAACAGUAUUCUAGUUCCUAAUGUUCACUAUAACCAAAUAAAUACGCGGAACUGAGCCAUCUGCUGUGUUUCUACUCUGACAGGCUAGAUCUCAUUCUUUCGCUGCUCUGUUCAAAGCUCUUUGUCCCUUGCCUUGAAAACGUGCUGCCUCUGUCCAGUAUGGAUUAGCUCGGUGGGGAAUGUUUUCAGAGCAGUUGCAGAUUCAUCUGCUCCUGGUGAGCUUGCCCUCAGACAUAGCUUACACUUCUGCUCUUCUGCAAACAUAAGUCUAGUUAUAUUCUCAGGAAGCAAUUCAGAAAGAGGCACACUUUUGUCAUGUUUAAAAUGCAACGUGUUUUCACUAGAAUUCAAAGCCAUCUUAUUGUCCUUUCUUUGUUCUAGAAAUGUUUUUUCCUUAUUAUAUAUACUCUACUUCAUUAUGCAAUUGUAUACUUCAAGUAAUUGUCGUUAUAUUCAUAUUAGCAUAAUCCUCUGUGUAAGCGAAGAAAAAUCUGAGAAAUAGAAAAACAACAGAAAGAUCCUUAUUCUUAAUAUACUCUGCAAUAAGUAAAGAAAGAUUUGCAGUUCUGGGUUUUUAAGUUGUUGAAUUUUCGCUCUCCUGUUUUUAGUAACAUGUCCUCAAAUCCCUGGACGAAAAGGCCGUAGAAUUUGAAAUGUUAUUACGACAACCUAUAGCAACACGCUACUUCAACCCAGGUAUAAUCAAAAGGAAAAUUUCUUGUAACUACAUUCAUAUUCAAAGAUCUUGUGAUAUAAGCCAACCCCUGUGGGGGUAUUAUUUCCAAACAUAACAGGUUGACAUUAUAUAAUUACACACUGCUGGAUACUGAAAUAUCAAAGAGGAGUGCUUAUAGAGGUGCACACAGCACACUGUUAUGAAUAUUCACAUUCAUCCACACAUUUUUAGGGAAUUAUUUCGAGUUAUGUAUUACAGACGUUAGCAAAGAUUUGGUGAUUUAUUUAAUAUCAACAUUAGGUUUUGACAUUAACGUCUUAGCAAGCAAGCAUAGAGAGGCUUGAUUCAGAGACUCACCUCUACUAGCUAAAAGGACUCCAGGGGGAAGCUCUUGUUAUUUCCAUCUGUGCUUUUCUAAACAGAAACUCCAGCCAUAUGCACAGCUGAGGAUUAUAAACCCUAUCCUAUGCAUACCCAACUUCCGUAAUUUAUAAUUUCCGUCUCCGAUUUUUUACUGUUCUCUCCAUGCUCAGGGAUGGCAUUACUUACCUUUAAAUCAGUUCUUCUGCUUCAGCUCCAUUUUACCUCCCACUUGCACAUCAUACAUUUUUGGCAGAAGUGGAGAGGGUUAAUGACCCUUCGUCUCUCAGCUUCUUAUCCAACUGUUUUCAGUGGUCUGUCUCUCCCAUUUAACCUCUGGGUGGUAACCAGAAUCUACCUUUCUCCCUUCAAAAGGUCAGCUUUCUAAUAUUUCCAUGCCUUCUCCUUCGUGUGGCCUUUUUGACUUAUGUGGUGCACAGUGAAAUUAGCCUCACAGACAUUAAGGCCCCAGGCGCUCUCUCUCUUGGGUCUUUAGUCUCACGCUCAGGUUGGGGAGCUCAGUGAUCUUGAGGCUCUUUCCCAUUCUGCUAUGGAGGAAUCAUCUGGUUUCUACUUUCCCAUUUCUCUUCUAUCUAUUGAUCUUUUAAAAACAUACGGAUAAUUGCAACUCUGGGGCAUGUAUUUCAUGCAUAUUUAUUUUAUUUUGAGAUUGGGUUUCUUUGUGUAGCUCUGGCUGUCCAGAGAAUUGCUCUGUAGAUCAGGCUGGCCUUGGACUCAGAGAUCCACCUGUCUUUGCCUCCCCGGAGACAUAAUAUGUAUUUUAGGAGUAGUAGAACAGCAAGCUGUCUGUGUGCACCAUGUGUAGGAAACAGGAAAACUACUGUUGUCCUCAUCACAAAAUCAGUGAGCCAAUCUACUGAUAGAAAUACCCAGUGGCAGGACAGGCCUCCAGAGUUAAGGAAGAUUUAAGUGUGUGCAUACUUAAUUAAGGGGCUGGUGGAUGGCUCAGGGGCUAAUUGCUCUUUUUUUAGAGGAAUGGAUUUCAUUCCAAGCCCUAGAAUGAGUAGCCAUAAUCCUUGUAACUUCCACUUCAGUGGAUUUAGUGCCGUUUUCCAGCCCCCGUGGUCAAUGCUCUCACCACCCCUCACACACACACACACACACACACACACACACACACACACACACACACACUCACAAAGCAACAACCAGCACUACCAAAACAACAGCAUCAACAAGUCUGGAGAAAUGGCUUGGUGGUUAAGAGCAAGCACUGCUCUUGCAAAGGAUCCAUGUUGGUUCAUAGCGCCUAGGCCAUGUGGCUCACAGCAGCACCCUGUAACUCCAGCUGCAGGGGAUCCAACACCCCCUUAAGAUCCAAAGGCAUCUUACUCAGGCACAUCCCCGCACAUAAUUAAAAACAAUAGAAACACAUCUUUUAAAAAUUUGACCCCCAACUGUUCCUAGUAAUUGGGAGAGCUGAUCCUGGCUCAUACUAGGUUAGUCUUAGCUACUAACUUGAGCCCUCUUUCUAGGAACUUUCUUGAUCUUUCUUACUUUUGAACAAGCUAAGAUCCCAGAUGCUAGGAUACCAGAUAAAAGUGAAAUUGUUGCUUCUUUGUUCCUCUACAGGGGUAGAAUGAUGACUAAAACAGGCUCUGUAUAAACCAGAAGAGUAGUGCGCAAGAUAGGCCAAGUUAAGCUGCCUUGCUUGUUACUGUAAUACAUUCUACCUGGAGAGCCUUUAUUUAGGGGCACCUUGACUGGCCUCUAAACACUUGUGUGUUAUGUUGCAAUUUGUGACAGUGGUCAUUAUCUCUCAGCAGAAGUAAAAUGAAAAAAUCUUAUCGCUAGACAAGUAGACUUGAGUGGAAAUAAGCAGCCAGUAAAAAGCAACAUGCGGACAAGCUGGAUAUACAGUGUAAGUUGCUUUAUCUCAAGCUUCCUUUUCACACCCUCCAUUGCCUCUUUGGGGUGUUGCUAUUCAUGAAUAAAAAUAUUACUUUAAAAACAAAACAAAAACUUCUUUGCUUUAAUUAGGCAAAAUGAAAGCCUUCUGUUACAAUUUAUAUUAUUAAAAUUUUGACAUUUCAUAAUGGCAUACAAGAAAUUCUAUUUUUAAAAAGUGCUAUAUUAGAGUGACGCUUUAAAAUGAUGAUUGAAUUUUUUGUGAUUAUUAUUUGAUACAGAAAUUAUGGUGUAAUGAUAUUAUGUUUGGUAGUCCCUUGUUCUAUUUUAAAUAGUCAUCAACCUCUGGGGUGGUAUGUAAUCUGGAACAAAUUAACUUUAAAUGGUAAUUAUUAUUGAAAGUUACAUAUAUAAAAGCAAUGGCUAUUUCUGGGCAGUGGUGUCUUGGGCAUGAAGCAGUCAGUAAGUACACCCAUAUCCAAACAACUGAAGAGAGCUCUCUAAUUCAAGGCUCCAAACAUCAUAGAACUGUACAUUCAAUAACAACAAACUUUUAGAUCCCAAAGAAACUCAGGACAAAAUGCUAACUGUGGUGCCUAUUAGCAGGCUAAAGAGCAGGCUGGUAGCCAAGUUCACUUAGAGAUGGUUCCUCUCAGUUCUUCCUACCCAACUGUGCGCCCUAAACCUCUUCAGCCUAGCACCUUCAUUUCCCCACCCCCAGCUUCUGAUUCCUUUAAAAAAAAACCCACCAUCUAGGCUGUCUGCUGUCUGGGUCCUCCAGGCUUGGCUUGUUUCUGUCUUGGCCCCUUCUUUGCUCUUGCUCCUGUCUGUCUGUCUGUCUGUCUGUCUGUCUGUCUGUCUGUCUGUCUGUCUGUCUCUUUGUUUUUCUCUUCCUCUUUCUCUUUCCUCUCUUUUUCCUCCUCUUUCCCUAUGUCCUCUCUCUCUAUCUCUCUCCUUCCAGCCUCCCCUCUCUUCCAUUGCCCUCCCUUUCUCUCUUCCUUACUUCUUCCUCUCUACUCUCCCUCUCCACUCCACCCGCUUCACCCAGGUUCAGUCUAGACUCUUCCAGAUGCCUCUAGCUCCUUCAUGUCUACAAUAAAAACUUUCUCCUCAACCAUUCCUUGGAGUGGUCAUGUCCCCAUUUUCAUUCACAAACACAAGGGUAUGGUCCAAGCUUUAAUCUAGCUCUCCAUUGUUUCUAAUAAACAGAUGGAUAGUAAAUCUGUGGGGUAAAGAGCACCAUCUCUGCUUCAAGCACACAUCUCCUCACACUUUAUUUUGUAUUAUAUCUCUAAAUAUAGCUGAUAGCAUCUUCUCGUACACUUUUUCUUGCACAAGAACCUUUAUUAAAUAUUUGAAAUAUUCUGUUUAAAAUGCUUAUUGUGGCUGGAGAGAUGGUGCAGCAGUUAAGAGCACUGACGGCUCUCCGGAGGUCUUGAGUUCAGUUCCCAGCAACCACUUGGUGGCUCACAAGCAUCUGUAAUGGUAUCCGGUGCCCUCCUCUGGUGUGUCUGAAGAGAGUGACAGUGUACUCAUUAAAAUAAAUAGGUAAAUCUUAAAAGAAAUGCUCAAUGUUUAGGUCAAUGAAUACCUUUUUCUUAAAACAUUUUAAAAUUUAAUUUUGUAAAGGGAAUAUUACUUUAUAUUCUAGUUCUUUCUUGUCCUAUAGAACGAACUGUGGGUUUGUGCCCAUUCUUCACAUAUUCAUCGAGCACUUUGUUAAGCAGAUGUGGUGACGGCUAUCAUGAACGUAACAGGUGAUAAAAUACGCCCAUGUUCUCAAGGAAAUGCAUAUGCUCAUGCAGAACACAAAACAAGAUCAUUGUCAGGUCCUAAGAACCUGAGGCUGGGAUGAGUCAAGAAAGGUAAGCGAGUGUACAGGGAGGGAACGGAGCAGAGCCAUCCUGGGUCAAAGGGGCUUUUGUGGAGAAGAGAAAGGGAAAUUAAACCUUAAAACAUGAGUGAAAUUCAGAGGGAUGCAGUAGAGAGGACGACUCCUCCUGGAACACAGGCAGCAAGCAUACUCCUGGGAACAGCAGGCGGGUUUGAACACGUUCUGCCGCCCAGCUCUACAGCCUAGCUCAGUGGUCUCCAUCUUAAACUGAGAGGAGACUUCUCAGAAAAGAAGUGCUGAAGCUGACUCUUCAUGUGGAGAUGCAGGAGACGUUCUCAUUGUUGACAGCUUGGCUGUUAAUGGUUGUCACUCACAUUCAACAGGAGUGCAAAUCUAACGUUGAUUUGUUCGAAUAGUUCUACCCAGUAGUAAGUUGUACAAAGUAAGAAUUGGGGCUAAUGUGGUUAACAGAGCUCAGGCAUGCAGGUAGCAACAGAAAAUGCCAGUAAAAUCCAAUAAAUAGGAAGGUUCCAGGAGCAAGGAAUAGCAUUCAUACCAUAGGGCGGGCGCGAAGUGUCUCAGGACCAGGCGUUUGCAGCCUUGAGCUCUGUAACACUCAAUGUCAGCUUUAUCCUUGCCUGUUCCUUACAAUGGUUAAUUCCUGAGACCAACAGCAGUAUAACAUUCCAGUUUUUUCUAGUCAGUUUCUGUUGUUUCUCAGUCUUUUUAAUUUUUCUUUCCUUUACUUUAAUUUCAAUUAUUUAUUACAAAUGGUGUGUGUGUGUGUGUGUGUGUGUGUGUGUGUGUGUGUUUGUGUGUGUGUGUAUACACACAUGAGAACAACUUUCAGUAGUCAAUUUUUUUUCUUCCACUAUAUGGAUCCCAGAGAUCAAAGUCAGGAUAUCAGACUUCCUUAGCCCUAGAUUUUGUUUUACGUUUUACUUGACAAAAAUUGAAUACCUUUAUAGGAUAUAAUAUAAUGUUUUACUACAUAUUUACAUUGUGGAAUGAUUAAACCCAAGAUAAUUUAGAUAGUUAUCUCUAAUUAGCAUUUUUUAUCCUGAGAACAUUUAAAAUACAAUCUUUAUAAAUUUUGAGAUAUCAAUAGUAUAAUCAUUUCAAUGACUAUUGUGUAUACAGAUUGAUUAUGAGAAAUUUUUGUGUGGAGCAGAAACUUUGAAUUCUUCUAUCAAUGUCUCUCCAAUUCAAUGUACCUCUCAGUGUGAGGCCCAGAUAACAUCAAUAUGUUCUCUAUUUGAGUUUGACUUUUGAAGAUUCCACAUAUGUGUUAGACAAUGUGUAUCCAUAUGAGUGGAUGAGAGUCCCGUCACAGUACAAAAUCAGUUCAUUCCAUCAACCCGAUCAGUAUAACGCAGGAUAUAACAUCCCCUACCCAGGAACAAAGGCAUGACCUACAUACUGUUGCCUGCUGAGUGAAGGAGUUCUGUCAGAGAGUGAGAUGAGCUUGGAAAGGCAGCAUAGAUAUCUGGGGAAAAAAUAGCUCGCCAUAGUUCUACUGGGACAGAUGGAGGGACUUGAAUGUUGAGUAGGCAGACAACAGUGUGCCCAAACAAUGUGUUCCCUUUUCCCCAUUUGUUUUGAAUGGAAAGUGGAAUCUUCACCUGGAGGAGGAACCCUGCAACAGCUGAGGCAUAAUCUUAGUGGAUUAUAAGCCUUUGAACUGUGUGGAUCGGUAAUUACGGGGAGACAGAGUCACUGUUGAGUUGUGGAAACCAUUGCUUCAUAAUUCCCUCUCUUCCCUUCCUGAACUGUAGUUACAAAUUUCUACAUUGGUUUUUGUGGCUUACAUGUACCAUAGAGUAGAAAGGAAUUGUAGGCAUUUAUUUUGCUGUAAAAAGUAUUUUUAGGUGUUUGUGGGCUGUGUAUCAAUUACUAUAUAACAUAGAAUUAGGAAGGAAUGUGCAAAAUAUAUUUAGCAACUGCUGAUAAUAUUUUAAGAACAUUUGAUUCUGACACAUGGUUUAUAAUUUAUAGAGAUGCAGGUUACAUCAUCAAAAGGUUAUAUAUUGGGAAACCUACCAAAAAAAUCCUUAACUAAAAUACUUUCUUGAAACACAGACUGAGGAAUGUUCUCUCACAGAAGGAAAAGAAUGUGCUAUGUGUGAUUGCUCAGGCUUUUCCGUUCCUGACUGCUUGUCCAGCUCUGCACUUCCUACCAAGAACAGUCGAAGGCUUUUGAUAGGCAAGUGACUGAACCAGGAGAGAUGAAUGUCAAUUGGAUGCUUGACCCUUAUUUUUUAUUCAGAACUGUUCUUUCUCUCUGGCCUCAUAAGGUGCAGUGAUGUCUUGCCAGAGGCUGGACAGAGAUGAAUAUAUUCAUGGAUGGAAAUAGCAAUGCACAACUGUAUAAACAAAUGCUAAAGAUUUGUCUUGGAAGUUUGUUCAGGGCAGCCAUUCAUGCGCACAGAGAGGAUAAUACUAUUACUGAAAAUAGUAUAAAACAUCAAUUUUCACUCAGUGUUUGCACACUGUUGCAUUUUUCAGAAUGUUUUGUGUACAUUAUGUCCUGUGGUUGAGUAAGUCUAGUGUGGGGGAAGACUGGUAAUAUAACUUUUUCACUGAUUAGGAAAUCACGACAGAAUAAAGCUAAAUGAAAACCAGGUUCAGAAGCUCAAAGUUUUUUCUUUCCCUUGUGUGGUUCCUAGUAAAACAGAAACAUUUCUCUCCUCUUCCUUUCUCUCAAGGAAGAAAAAGAAAAGACAGAGUGAACAAAAAUCCCAAGAAAAUCCACUUGCUACACUAAACACACACUCUCAGUUUCUGAAGAACACACACUCACAGGGUCAGAUUUUCCUGCAGGAGGAAACGGCAACCUGGAGAUGUAAUGUUCCCAGCUUUCAUCUGUUGUUUCCUCAUCAGGUGGCAAUUCACACACCCCGUUUUAUUCCGGUUAAUCCCCAGUCUAUUUUCCUUGUCUUUACUCUCUAACCCAAUCUCACACCUCACCUGAAAGGUUUGCAUCUCACUGUUCUGUGUUCUCCAGCAAGGGGCGCCACUGUGAGAUUGUGCAUGCUCAGUGGGCGCUUUCACGUCAUUUGUGAGAGUUUCUUUAGGAAAAUACAGCUAGGGAAAAGGAGGUUUCUGAGAAUGUUUGAUAGUAUGUGUGUUACUUCAUAGUUACCCAUUCCUGCAAUGCCCCCAGACAUAAUCUUAGGAAAUUGAUAAUUGGAACAGAGUUGUCCAGAAGUAAACAGCAUAAAGAACUACUAAAUUUUCUAUUAGAAUGAAUAUGCUUUAUGAUUUUGUGGGUUCCAAAUACAAAAUAGAAGUCUGAGUACCAUAGACCUUUUGACAGCUGCCGAGAACACUUUUUAAUUUGUCUGCAACUCCAGCAGCAGAAAAUAAAAGUAAGAAAAACAAGAGGAUUAGUCUCCUGCUGUAUUUGAUGGAUAUCAACUUGGAUAGAUCACUUGAAGGAAUCUGGUGACCCGUGGGCAAGUUUUCUGAGUGAGCCAACUGUGGCUGCACUGCACAGCUGUGCUCGUUGAAAGUAAGAAACACAUACAAAGAAGCUCAAGAAGAUGAAGAACCUCACAGUACUCUCAAGCCAUCUCUGGUCUGGAUGUUUAAGAGACCUGCCCUUGUUGGUGAGGAAGCAGCAAUUCUGCUUCAAUUCAAAGGACAAUGGAAACUGGCCCAGUGGAGGGAGCCGCGCGCAUCGUCUUGCUCUCAGACACAGAGGCUGUGUCUCUCAGUGGCAAUGCACUGUAUCCUUGCCCCAAACACUCUUUUUCUAGCUCUGUAUAAAUUACCUACCUGGCAAAAUAAAGACUAAAGCUGCGAGCAAAAAUACACUUCUGUGGGUGUAAUUGUAUUCGUGGCCAAGCGGAGUUUGGACUUCUUCCAUUAGCAGGGAUGCCUGGUGGUAGUACUAACUUUAAAACCCAGAGCUGUCAACAAACAGAAGGCGCCCGGCUGAGAGGGAUCAGGAACGGAGUGGGGAGAUGGGAAAAACAGGCGGGGGGCUUCAAAGAACUCAAACCAACCCAGCCCCCCAAGGGAACCGACCUAGGGAGAGAAACUUUUCUCAGGGCUGCACUCCGUUGUCCCUUUCCACCAAAACCUCCAUUCUGUCCUGUUUCCUCUGGCUUUAUCUGGAAAGAAGAGGCAGAUUUGAGUGAGAAGGCUGGAAUCCAUGCCAGUAUUCCUUCCUCCUCAUGGGGUCACUGAGCACUUCCCAAAGUCGUUUUUUCUCAUAGUCUCUAGUCACAAUGGUUGGUCCUUGCUGUUCUGAACUGAAACUUUGCUCAAGGGAAACCAAACCAAGCCAAAACACUAAAAACUGGGCAUAAGUUGGAUAUUUCACAAGGUGGACUAGAACCUCACAAUUGUGAGGAGUUGGAAUGGUGCAGAUUAAUUGCCAACAUUACCUAGGAUUCUGUUUAGUCCCCUCAGUAGCCACUUAUUACCCACCUCUUUAUCUAACAUAGCAUCAUUCAACUAUUAGUUAAAACCUUCUCAAAUGUAUCCAUUUAGCAGGCCACUAACUUCCAUCGUGCCCAAAGCUAAGUACGUCGUCCCAUAGUAUCGGAAACCUGUAGCAGGGAUUUUGUCACUCUGCUGUACCCCAGGCAUCUGCUCCCCUCGCCAGUGUGUUUGGUCAGUACACUGGUUUAUGGUUUUCUUUUGUCCUGUGACCAUAACACGUUCAUAUGUCUUCUAUAUUGGAGCAUGCCACUCAGGAUAACCUAAGGCUGUGGUCACUAACAUUUAGCCCAGGAAUUAGGGCCAACAACUGAAUCUCAUAAAAGCAAAAGGCUCCUGCAUUGCAGAAUGGAACACUCAUUGAGAUGAAGAGGAAGCCCCCAGAAUGGGAGAGAAUAUUGUCUAGUUAUACAACCGAUGGAGGAUUAACAUCCAGAUACAUAAAGAACUCAAAAAAAUGAAGUCGAGACAACAAUCUAAAUGCGGGAUAUGGAUAUGAACAGGGAGUUCCCAAAAUAAGAAAUAAAGAUAUCUAAGAAAUUACUCCAAAGUGUUCAUUCCCCUUAGCUAUUACCGAAAUGCGAAUUAAAAUUGCUUGGACAUCCCAUCUUAGCACAAUCAAAAAAGCUCCGAUCAACAAAACAAACCGGCGGCAUUGCAGGCUGGCAUAGCUGCUCUUGACAUCAGUGUGGAGAAGUCUCAAAAAGCUUAAAAAGGUCUACAUAUGACCAGCUAUCCCGUUCCCUGUGAUCUGCCCACAGGUCUCAACAUCCCACGCCCGUGUGUAUGAGCCACCAGAUGUCUAGAAGGACGAGAUAUCUUGAAAUGUGCAACAAAGGCACACUUACCCUGGGGCCAUGCGAUUGGGCCUAAAGCCCAUUACAUAAGAGGGAUUUCGUACCUGGUUCUGAAACCUAGCCCAGUGCCCGUGACUAUUAAAGUCAUAGGCUCUCGAGGAGAACUUAUUGCUACAGUUUUCCUAAACCAGUAUAACUUCUCACUGCAUUCUAAACAUUUUUCUUAUACCCACCGGUAAGUACAGCUCUCAACCAUCAUCAAAGAACUUUCUUUCUGCAGCAGGAAGAGACUAUCACACGGUGACCAACCAGGCAAAACCCUGAGAGUAACUCACUGUAGCAUUACCAGGACAUCUACAACACAGGCCCUAAAGCUGAGGGAACAUUGAGGAAGAGGAGAUGGAAGGAUUACAAAAGCCAGAGGACUGGGAAGUCUGAUGCAAGGUUGUGUCUUUUGUACAUGAUAGGAAAGCUGCACCCAUGAAAUCUCAACAGUAUGGCUUCCUUAAAAAGACAGGAACAAAGACAGCGGCAGUUGUCACAUCAGUGUGGAUGAGGGAGAUCUCAUAAGGCCCUAUUCCUUUACGGGGAGCAGUAGGCAAGUAAUGGCUGUGGAGAGAGGAAGAAUCAAUCUUCUCCAGGGAUGAGUUAGACACAAACACACCCAUGCAAGUAACACAGAAGGGACCAUGCCAGUUGAGGGCAAACAUUUGUUUGUAUACACACAGUGACAAUAAUAAUUAAAGAAUAAGAUGCCAUGAAUUUAAGAGGGAAUUUAAUGGGAAAAGGGAGGGUGGAAAUAACGUAGAUACAAUAGCCGCAUAUGAAAUUCUCAAAACAUUGACCAUCUCAUGAGAAAAGAAAAUAUAAAAUAUUAAUAAAAACACCGUGCUCUAAUAUAAUCCUCAAAACAAAUGUAGCAUCUCUUAAUACGUGAUGGCUUUCUUGGUCAAUUUACAUAAUGUUUUUGUUCAGACUUAAAGAUCAGAGUUAUUUAAUUCAUGUUCAAAUUAGGAUUUUGUAAAUAUAGACUACUAACAGGGUACACUUUAGAUAUCAUCUUGGUAGACCGUUUGUGUGGGUUUAGGUCAAUUAAUUUUGAUCUACUGGGGUAUAUUUAUAAAUGGAAAUGCAAUUAGUCUUAAUCCUUAUAUAAGCAUCUUGUUUAAUGUGAAAAUUUAGGCAUAUGUCUAAUUAACAAUCAGCAGUCUUUCCUCUUAACACUCAGCCACUGACCAGAUGAAGAGAUGAGGAGCUUCGGAAUUACAGAAGAAAAUACAGAAGACACAAGCUGCUUUGCAUCUGAAUGACAAGAACUGUAGGAUGGACGCCAAAUGAGUUUUUACAAACCUGGACUUUCUUUUAAUGAACCAGACUAUGAGUACUUCUUAAAGACUCCAGGAGACAGCACCAACACCUCUGCCCACUUAUAAACUUAGGCAUAUGGAACCCGAGACAUUUCUGCUCCUUCUCUCCAUGGCUGGCCCAACUGCACACAUUUUCUACUGAAUGUGCAUCAGGGUUGCUUCCAAUUGAGUCCCUGCAUUUGGAAACCAUCUUUCUUGUCCAGAAAAGUACUUUUACAAACUGGCUCACUGCUAGUACAUGUCUCUUUGAAUUACCAUUUCAUUGUUUAAGAGCAGGUCCCCUCUAAGCAUGAGAGGGGGAGUUCUUUAUUCUUUUGCUAAAUUGGUCAGCCAAAGAACAGCUUUUGGUGAAUAAAAGAUAUUCUCAUUUUAGCAAA